UACAUAGGAGGCAAGCGUUAUUCGGAAUUAUUGGGCGUAAAGAGCGCGUAGACGGCUUUGCAAGUGACGGGUGAAAUCCCUCGGCUUAACCGAGGAACUGCCUGUCAAACUGCAUGGCUUGAGACCGGGAGAGGUAAGUGGAAUUCCCAGUGUAGCGGUGAAAUGCGUAGAUAUUGGGAGGAACACCAGUGACGAAGGCGACUCACUGGACCAGUACUGACGCUGAUGCGCGAAAGCGUAAGGAGCAAACAGG
RNAcentral lists this ribosomal RNA (253 nucleotides) under uncultured bacterium. Its description in RNAcentral is "partial 16S ribosomal RNA". It matches the Rfam family "Bacterial small subunit ribosomal RNA", at positions 524 to 776 of the family's 1533-position model. The record is from RNAcentral.